AAUUCGAUGGCUCGUUUGUUUAUCUCCGUCCCAUGCCCUCACGGGUGGUGGGUCGGACGCCAGGCAAGCCUCGUGUUCCCGGCACGCCUAGCCCAGUUGCAUGGCUGCCUCGGCGCACGAGGCUCUUCGCCCGUGCUCUCGGAUUCGGAAUGUUAUGUGCUGCGGGUGGGUGGCUCAUCGGAGGCACUCCAUCCGGUCAAGCGAGGCAUUUUGUCCAACGAGACGAACGACUGCUGCACCCGUCUUUGGGCCCGCGGCCUCACGGCUCGGCAGGGCUCAUG
RNAcentral lists this unclassified non-coding RNA (281 nucleotides) under Canarium multiflorum. Its description in RNAcentral is "partial external transcribed spacer". Lineage: Eukaryota; Viridiplantae; Streptophyta; Magnoliopsida; Sapindales; Burseraceae. The record is from RNAcentral.